This 845-nucleotide ribosomal RNA is filed under the name uncultured bacterium. RNAcentral describes it as "bacterial SSU rRNA". It matches the Rfam family "Bacterial small subunit ribosomal RNA", at positions 8 to 812 of the family's 1533-position model. The record is from RNAcentral.
AGAGUUUGCUUCUGGCUCAGGACGAACGCUGGCGGCGUGCCUAAUACAUGCAAGUCGAACGCACUCUCGUUUAGAUUGAAGGAGCUUGCUCCUGAUUGAUAAACAUUUGAGUGAGUGGCGGACGGGUGAGUAACACGUGGGUAACCUGCCCUAAAGUGGGGGAUAACAUUUGGAAACAGGUGCUAAUACCGCAUAAAACCUAACACCGCAUGGUGUAGGGUUGAAAGAUGGUUUCGGCUAUCACUUUAGGAUGGACCCGCGGUGCAUUAGUUAGUUGGUGAGGUAAAGGCUCACCAAGACCGUGAUGCAUAGCCGACCUGAGAGGGUAAUCGGCCACACUGGGACUGAGACACGGCCCAGACUCCUACGGGAGGCAGCAGUAGGGAAUCUUCCACAAUGGACGAAAGUCUGAUGGAGCAACGCCGCGUGAGUGAAGAAGGUUUUCGGAUCGUAAAACUCUGUUGUUGGAGAAGAAUGUAUCUGAUAGUAACUGAUCAGGUAGUGACGGUAUCCAACCAGAAAGCCACGGCUAACUACGUGCCAGCAGCUGCGGUAAUACGUAGGUGGCAAGCGUUGUCCGGAUUUAUUGGGCGUAAAGCGAGCGCAGGCGGUUUCUUAAGUCUGAUGUGAAAGCCUUCGGCUCAACCGAAGAAGUGCAUCGGAAACUGGGAAACUUGAGUGCAGAAGAGGACAGUGGAACUCCAUGUGUAGCGGUGAAAUGCGUAGAUAUAUGGAAGAACACCAGUGGCGAAGGCGGCUGUCUGGUCUGUAACUGACGCUGAGGCUCGAAAGCAUGGGUAGCAAACAGGAUUAGAUACCCUGGUAGUCCAUGCCGUAAACGAUGA